RNAcentral lists this ribosomal RNA (306 nucleotides) under uncultured bacterium. RNAcentral's name for it is "partial 16S ribosomal RNA". It matches the Rfam family "Bacterial small subunit ribosomal RNA", at positions 507 to 807 of the family's 1533-position model. The record is from RNAcentral.
GACAGCAGUAGCCGCGGGAAUACAGAGGGUGCAAGCGUUAAUCGGAAUUACUGGGCGUAAAGCGCGCGUAGGUGGUUUGUUAAGUUGGAUGUGAAAUCCCCGGGCUCAACCUGGGAACUGCAUCCAAAACUGGCAAGCUAGAGUAUGGUAGAGGGUGGUGGAAUUUCCUGUGUAGCGGUGAAAUGCGUAGAUAUAGGAAGGAACACCAGUGGCGAAGGCGACCACCUGGACUGAUACUGACACUGAGGUGCGAAAGCGUGGGGAGCAAACAGGAUUAGAUACCCCCGUAGUCCCUGUCUCUUAUAC